UACGUAGGGUGCGAGCGUUAAUCGGAAUUACUGGGCGUAAAGGGCGCGUAGGCGGCCUGUUAAGUCGAACGUGAAAUCCCCGGGCUCAACCCGGGAACUGCGUCCGAUACUGGCAGGCUUGAAUCCGGGAGAGGGAUGCGGAAUUCCCGGUGUAGAGGUGAAAUUCGUAGAUAUCGGGAGGAACACCAGUGGCGAAGGCGGCGAUCUGGGAAGAUACUGACGCUGAGGUGCGAAAGCGUGGGGAGCAAACAGG
This 253-nucleotide ribosomal RNA is filed under the name uncultured bacterium. Its description in RNAcentral is "partial 16S ribosomal RNA". It matches the Rfam family "Bacterial small subunit ribosomal RNA", at positions 524 to 776 of the family's 1533-position model. The record is from RNAcentral.